This 460-nucleotide ribosomal RNA is filed under the name uncultured bacterium. RNAcentral describes it as "partial 16S ribosomal RNA". It matches the Rfam family "Bacterial small subunit ribosomal RNA", at positions 338 to 795 of the family's 1533-position model. The record is from RNAcentral.
CCUACGGGUGGCAGCAGUGAGGAAUAUUGGUCAAUGGACGCAAGUCUGAACCAGCCAUGCCGCGUGCAGGAAGACGGCUCUAUGAGUUGUAAACUGCGUUUGUACGGGGGUAAACGCACAUACGCGUAUCUGUCUGAAAGUAUCGUACGAGUAAGGAUCGGAUAACUCCGUGCCAGCAGACGCGGUAAUACGGAGGAUUCAAGCGUUAUCCGUAUUUAUUGGGUUUAAAGGGUGCGUAGGCGGUCGGAUAAGUUAGAGGUGAAAUCCCGUGGCUCAACUUCGGAAUUGCCUGUGAUACUGGUCGGCUAGAGAGUAGUUGCGGUAGGCGGAAUGUAUGGUGUAGCAGUGAAAUGCGUAGAGAUCAUACAGAACACCGAUGGCGAAGGCAGCUUACCAAGCUACUUCUGACGUUGAGGAACGAAAGCGUGGGGAGCAAACAGGAUUAGAUACCCCUGUAGUC